Long non-coding RNA from Capsicum annuum, 818 nucleotides. RefSeq lists it as uncharacterized. NCBI's taxonomy places the organism in Eukaryota, Viridiplantae, Streptophyta, Magnoliopsida, Solanales, Solanaceae. The record is from RefSeq and is a predicted model, not a curated record. The transcript has 3 exons.
CUCUAGAAGCCUUCAUAUCUCUGUUCUCUUCCACCACUUCAAACCUUUCUCUUCGUCUUCUAAAAUUGACUUUCAGUAAAAGGUAAAUAAUCUUUCUUGCAAAUAAAAUCAAUUGUAUUGGAAUAUCUCAUAUCAAGGUAAUCUCAAUUAUAAAAAGAAAAGAAAAAGAAAAAAAGAAGUGGGCCAAGUCCAUCUAUUAAUUAAAAAAAGAAAAGGAUGGGCUUAUGCCCAUCUACUAAUCCUAAACAAGAGGGGAUUGGGGGAAGUGAAUUCUGCGUACAGCAGUAGCACGAAAAAGAAAAAAAAUUAUUAUAAAGCAAGGUUGGGAAAGGUUGCUGUGUACAGCACCUCCAAACAAGGAAAACAAAACAAAAACAAAUCUUUUAGAAAAAUUGGGGAAAGAAGAAGAAGAAAAAGUUAGUUUGUUUGGAGAUUUCUAUCGGGUUUAAGGUUUGAUCCAAGAAUGUGAUACGAAUCAUUCGAGGUGACAAAAUUGGUAUUUCGACAAGAGUACGAGAACGUAGGUGAUGGCGAGGAUUACGUUAGCUAGAGAGCUUGAGGUAGCAUUUUCCUGGUAAGCCCCGCAUUUGUUCGCGUGGGCAAGAUUUUAUUUAUUUAUUUUGUUCUGUUUCUUGCAAACUCUUAGAGUUGCUCCAUAGUCAUGUCUUUAGAGUUUCGAGUAUUCUUUUAUUAUUUUGGACUUGUGGAGUAUUGAACUUCCUCUCAUGUUUUGGAGAUGGAUAUUAUGUUGUUAUUGGUGGUGUUGGUAACUUUUUGAUGGUUUGUGAUAGAUUGUGUUAGUGUGAUUGAUAUGUUAG